UACUUUUUUUUUUUUUUUUUUUUUUUUUUUUUUUUUUUUUUUUUUUUUUUUUUCCGCGCUCGCUGCAU
This 68-nucleotide non-coding RNA is filed under the name Alexandrium minutum. The record is from RNAcentral. Lineage: Eukaryota; Dinophyceae; Gonyaulacales; Pyrocystaceae.